CGGCCGGGCCAGCGGCCUAACCAUGCAAGUCGAACGGUAGCACAGAGAGCUUGCUCUCGGGUGACGAGUGGCGGACGGGUGAGUAAUGUCUGGGAAACUGCCUGAUGGAGGGGGAUAACUACUGGACAACGGUAGCUAAUACCGCAUAACGUCGCAAGACCAAAGAGGGGGACCUUCGGGCCUCUUGCCAUCAGAUGUGCCCAGAUGGGAUUAGCUAGUAGGUGGGGUAACGGCUCACCUAGGCGACGAUCCCUGCUGGUCUGAGAGGAUGACCAGCCACACUGGAACUGAGACACGGUCCAGACUCCUACGGGAGGCAGCAGUGGGGAAUAUUGCACAAUGGGCGCAAGCCUGAUGCAGCCAUGCCGCGUGUAUGAAGAAGGCCUUCGGGUUGUAAAGUACUUUCAGCGGGGAGGAAGGUGUUGUGGUUAAUAACCACAGCAAUUGACGUUACCCGCAGAAGAAGCACCGGCUAACUCCGUGCCAGCAGCCGCGGUAAUACGGAGGGUGCAAGCGUUAAUCGGACAUUACUGGGCGUAAAGCGCACGCAGGCGGUCUGUCAAGUCGGAUGUGAAAUCCCCGGG
Molecule: ribosomal RNA, 584 nt
Filed under: Enterobacter sp.
Lineage: Bacteria; Pseudomonadati; Pseudomonadota; Gammaproteobacteria; Enterobacterales; Enterobacteriaceae
Description: bacterial SSU rRNA
Rfam family: Bacterial small subunit ribosomal RNA
Source: RNAcentral